Heterocephalus glaber (naked mole-rat) is the source of this 979-nucleotide long non-coding RNA. NCBI's taxonomy places the organism in Eukaryota, Metazoa, Chordata, Mammalia, Rodentia, Bathyergidae. The record is from Ensembl.
CUGCUGUAAUCAUUGUUUGUCAUUUGCUGCUUGCUGCUUUGUUGACUUCUGCCUGCCAUGAACUGUUUCUCCUCUGCAAUGCCUGUCUGCCAUGCCACCCUGCCUUAUAGCCAGCUGAUUAUGGACUGCCACUUCUACAAACUGAGCUGAAAUAAACCUUUCCUCCUGCAACUUUGGGUGUCAGAACCCAAAACAUCCCUGAGAUUUGGUAUGGUUGGAUACGGCAACAAGAGCAAGAGGUAGAAUACCACUCAGAGUUUCAUGCAAGCAAGGAGCAACUGAGCCAUCAUCAUACAGAGGCACUGCACUGUGAUGAUAUACAGUAUAAAAAAAGACACUACACACUGGAGAAGAUUUCAUAUCCAUGUGCAUAGAGAGGACUCAAAACUGGAAACUAACAAGCAUUUCCAUCUAAGAUUACGAUUAAAUGGGAAAUGAUUAGUACUAUUGUUGCAAUGAAAAUGAGAGAGAAAUGCCUGGGAUGGAUGGCAUUUAAAGUAGGAUUUCUGAUCAAAAGAGUGAUUAACCCUUGCAGAACAAGUGAAAGAAAAAGAGAAUUUACCUCUUUGGAGUGGAGAUUUUCAUCCUCUUUAUUCAAGAUCAUCAGAGCCUAAAAGAGAACCCAGCAUGUUAUUGGCCACACUUGGAGAUGAAGAAUGGGCUGGAACAUGUACCCUUUGGCAGAGAUCUUGCCUUCCAGGAAAGGACUACAAUAAGGAGUUGUAAGUCUCCUGGGAACACUCUCCCUGAAGAGCAGGUCUGCAGUUGCCCAUUUGCCCUACAACUUACUGGCUGGAUACAUUCAAUUCAGAAGGAAAGUGCAGUAAGAAUGCCAUUGGGUACCUCAAACUCAAGUUCAUUUUGCCAUUUAGCUUUACCAAUAACACUUGAUGUUUUUCUAGAUUUCUAAUUGACAGAUAGAUGAUAGAUACAUAGAUACCUAAAUUGAAAAUUGGCUCAAAAUUAGCAGAAGAAAAGG